AAUAGGCUAAUUAAGAGCGUAAGGGGAAUGCCUUGGCUCUCAGAGGCGAUGAAGGACGUGAUAAGCUGCGAUAAGCUUUGGGGAGUGGCACAAACACUUUGAUCCGAAGAUUUCCGAAUGGGGCAACCCGGCAUAUUGAAGAUAUGUCACACUGUAAAGUGAGCAAACCUGGUGAACUGAAACAUCUAAGUAACCAGAGGAAUAGAAAACAAAAGUGAUUCCGCUAGUAGUGGCGAGCGAACGUGGAACAGCCCAAACCUAUGUUGUUACGGCAAUAUAGGGGUUGUAGGACCUCAACAUUUAAUGCUAAAAGAACUAGAAUUUACUGGAAAGUAAAA
Molecule: ribosomal RNA, 338 nt
Filed under: uncultured Flavobacteriaceae bacterium
Lineage: Bacteria; Pseudomonadati; Bacteroidota; Flavobacteriia; Flavobacteriales; Flavobacteriaceae
Description: bacterial LSU rRNA
Rfam family: Bacterial large subunit ribosomal RNA
Source: RNAcentral